AACUAAGUUUGUUCUUGGUAUAAGCUUUUGUGUGCAUGUACACUUCUUCAGAAACAUUCGUGUUCAUGCACACGAAAGCUUAUACACUUUUUCAGAUACAUUUGAAGAAAUGUAUCUGAAGAAGUGCGCAUGCAUACAAAAGCUUAUACAGUGGUACCUCGGGAU
Podarcis lilfordi (Lilford's wall lizard) is the source of this 165-nucleotide non-coding RNA. Lineage: Eukaryota; Metazoa; Chordata; Lepidosauria; Squamata; Lacertidae. The record is from the annotation of a GenBank genome assembly.